AAUCUGGAUGAUUUAAUAAAUGAUUAAUGAAAAGAAUAAAGGCUUUUCACUUUAAAAGAGCAUAAAUACAUCGAGAUUUAGAGUUCUGUCGUUGAUGCCGAAGCUGUAGAAGAGUUGCAGAGAAGCGAGUUAAUACAUUUCCUACACAGAUCUUAAUUCCAGAGAGAAACAGCCCCUUGUUCAAAAAUAUUAAAAUGCUUAAUAUUUAG
Long non-coding RNA from Labrus mixtus (cuckoo wrasse), 209 nucleotides. RefSeq lists it as uncharacterized. The record is from RefSeq and is a predicted model, not a curated record. The transcript is spliced from 2 exons. Lineage: Eukaryota; Metazoa; Chordata; Actinopteri; Labriformes; Labridae.